UACAGAGGUCCCAAGCGUUGUUCGGAUUCACUGGGCGUAAAGGGUGCGUAGGUGGUGAGGUAAGUCGGAUGUGAAAUCUCCAAGCUCAACUUGGAAGCUGCAUUGGAAACUACCUUGCUAGAGGAUUUGAGGGGGGAUUGGAAUACUUGGUGUAGCAGUGAAAUGCGUAGAUAUCAAGUGGAACACCAGUGGCGAAGGCGAAUCCCUGGAAAAUACCUGACACUGAGGCACGAAAGCUAGGGGAGCAAACAGG
RNAcentral lists this ribosomal RNA (253 nucleotides) under uncultured bacterium. RNAcentral's name for it is "partial 16S ribosomal RNA". It matches the Rfam family "Bacterial small subunit ribosomal RNA", at positions 524 to 776 of the family's 1533-position model. The record is from RNAcentral.